CCUACGGGGUGCAGCAGUGAGGAAUAUUGGUCAAUGGACGGAAGUCUGAACCAGCCAUGCCGCGUGAAGGAAGACGGCUCUAUGAGUUGUAAACUGCUUUUGUACAAGGGUAAACCUGAAUACGUGUAUUCAGCUGAAAGUACUGUACGAAUAAGGAUCGGCUAACUCCGUGCCAGCAGCCGCGGUAAUACGGAGGAUCCAAGCGUUAUCCGGAUUUAUUGGGUUUAAAGGGUGCGUAGGCGGAUUGAUAAGUUAGAGGUGAAAUGUCCGAGCUUAACUCGUGAACUGCCUCUAAUACUGUUGAUCUAGAGAGUAGAUGCGGUAGGCGGAAUGCAUGGUGUAGCGGUGAAAUGCUUAGAGAUCAUACAGAACACCGAUUGCGAAGGCAGCUUACCAAUCUAUAUCUGACGUUGAGGCACGAAAGCGUGGGGAGCGAACAGGAUUAGAUACCCGGGUAGUC
RNAcentral lists this ribosomal RNA (460 nucleotides) under uncultured bacterium. Its description in RNAcentral is "partial 16S ribosomal RNA". It matches the Rfam family "Bacterial small subunit ribosomal RNA", at positions 338 to 795 of the family's 1533-position model. The record is from RNAcentral.